UCCUCUCAGUUUUAUGUUCUUUUUCUCCCUUUCCCCCACUGCUACAAACCCUCACAAGUUAUAAUGAAGAACCUGGGCCAAGGUGUAAGGCUCUAAUGUUCCCUCCAAAUUAGAGCCUGGGCCAAGGUGUAAAGCUCUAAUGUUCCCUCCAAAUCAGGUACUUCCUCUUUAUUUUCACUAUAAAUUCAAACUAUCUGUUUGAUUCCGAUUUUGCUAUCUCUGUUUGUAUUUUGUAAUUUCUCAUACAAAUUAUGAUGAAGAGCUUGGGCCAAGGUGUAAGGCUCUAAUGUUCCCUCCAAAUCAGUAAGAAUUAGAAAAACAAAUUCAUCAACCUCGACGUUCACUAUCUCAGGCAAUAUAUAUUGAAUAAAUUAUUACUGUAAAUGGUUACUUAUGAUGGUUUGUUUGAUUGUGGUAUUGUUAAUCAUCAUUUUUUCUAAAUUC
This is a long non-coding RNA of Quercus lobata, 444 nucleotides long. RefSeq lists it as uncharacterized. The transcript is spliced from 3 exons. The record is from RefSeq and is a predicted model, not a curated record. Lineage: Eukaryota; Viridiplantae; Streptophyta; Magnoliopsida; Fagales; Fagaceae.